ACUGGGUGCAGUGGCACGUGCCUGUUGUCCCAGCUACUUGGGAGGCUGAGGUGGGAAGAUCCCUUGAGCCCAGGAGUUCUGGGCUGUAGUGCACUAUGCCGACCGGGUGUCCGCACUAAGUUCAGCAUCAAUAUGGUGACCUCCCGGGAGCAGGGGACAACCAGGUUACCUAAGGAGGGGUGAACGGGCCCAGGUCAGAAAUGGAGCAGGUCAAAACUCCCGUGCUGAUCAGUAGUCGGAUCGCCCCUGUGAAUAGCCACUGCACUCCAGCCUGGGCAACAUAAGGAGACCCCAUCUCU
RNAcentral lists this signal recognition particle RNA (299 nucleotides) under Cebus imitator (Panamanian white-faced capuchin). RNAcentral describes it as "Metazoan signal recognition particle RNA (ENSCCAG00000007044.1)". It matches the Rfam family "Metazoan signal recognition particle RNA". Rfam says of the family: The signal recognition particle (SRP) is a universally conserved ribonucleoprotein. It is involved in the co-translational targeting of proteins to membranes. The eukaryotic SRP consists of a 300-nucleotide 7S RNA and six proteins: SRPs 72, 68, 54, 19, 14, and 9. The record is from RNAcentral. Lineage: Eukaryota; Metazoa; Chordata; Mammalia; Primates; Cebidae.